GGAAGUAAAGUCGUAACAAGGUCUCCGUUGGUGAACCAGCGGAGGGAUCAUUACCGAGUUUACAACUCCCAAACCCAUUGUGAACCAUACCAAACUGUUGCCUCGGCGGGGUCACGCCCCGGGUGCGUCGCAGCCCCGGAACCAGGCGCCCGCCGGAGGGACCAACCAAACUCUUUCUGUAGUCCCCUCGCGGACGUUAUUUUUACAGCUCUGAGCAAAAAUUCAAAAUGAAUCAAAACUUUCAACAACGGAUCUCUUGGUUCUG
Molecule: unclassified non-coding RNA, 265 nt
Filed under: plant metagenome
Description: partial contains small subunit ribosomal RNA, internal transcribed spacer 1, and 5.8S ribosomal RNA
Rfam family: Eukaryotic small subunit ribosomal RNA (bases 1-53)
Source: RNAcentral